Molecule: long non-coding RNA, 1347 nt
Organism: Prionailurus viverrinus (fishing cat)
Lineage: Eukaryota; Metazoa; Chordata; Mammalia; Carnivora; Felidae
Exons: 2
Source: RefSeq, a predicted model, not a curated record
UGCAUCCUUCAUUUGGGGACUUUGGCCCCUGUUGUGGGCCGGAACCCAUGCUAGGUUUCCUGUCCCCAGCUGAGAAGGACCCCACGGGAGCUCACAGUGCAAGGGGAGGGGGGCAGGCAUGUGAACGAGGCAGAAAAAGUCCACGAGCUGACAGAACGGCAUCACGCCCACAGGUGCCGAGCCACGCCAAGCAGGUGGGACGUGGUUUCUGAAGCGUGGCCCAGAGACACAGGACCUGGAAGGGCAGUAGGUCUGGGGAAGAGACAGGGGAGUGGCUCGCAAAAGCAGGAUGAGGCACGGGCCUCUGCGGCUGCUGAACAUGAUGGUGACCGGGAACUGGCAGGACCCAGAGGGGAGACAGUGAAGCCAGAGGAAGAGGAAGGGCCCAGAAAGAAGGGAACGCGGAGGGACGUGCUGAAUAUGCCCUGGGCACCUUAGCCAGACACCCUGCUGAGGAGCGUUCCUUUAAUCCUGCAAACAUCUCUCCGAGCUGGGUAUUAGAGUCCCCCCUCCCCAAACAGGAAGGUGAGGCCCAGAGGGCAUCAGUGACUCGCCCAGUUCUGGGGCUGCAAGUCUCCAACCAUCCCCUGGCCCUGCCUGCCUAUCCCCCGGCCAAGCAGGAGGAGAGCCCCGUGCCUUUGCAGAGCGAGCGCAGCCUUGCAGAGACUCCCCUGCAGGGUGACGCGAUGCAGACCUCCGCUGCCUCACAUGACUUGUACAUAUUUUCAUGGAUUUGCUUAUUUUAACUCGGCCCAGAACUUCAAGGGAGCAUCAUUCCUGGAGGAUUUGUUCAUCGAUGUGUCACGGUCUAGCGACUGAGGCCACGAGCGAGAAGGAAAGGGGCAGGUUCAGAGGCCCAAACAUCCGUCCUCUCCGUGUCUUGUCAAGAGGAAGUGAGAGGUGUCCGAUUCGGUCACGCAGAACGCAGCUGGGCUGCCUGAAACCCAACGCAGCGGCUACUCUGAAGGAGGUGUCGUCCCCGUCCCGGUAAGGGGCUGAGUCACAGCAGACGCCACUCCCACGUCAAAAAUACCGGGCCAUUGUCCCGGGGAGCUCGGCCCCUCACGCAGGUCAUUUCCGACCCACUCCCUGGAAUCACAUUAAAGGAAAGAGAAGGAAAGGAAAAGCAGCAGAAACCAGGAUUGGCGAAGCAGGCCGAGGAAGAGGAGAGCUGGACAGUCAGAUCCGCCCCCGAAGGUGGGACCCCACCACGCCCUGGGUCCUCUUAGCCUGGGUCACACCGGGGCCCCGGGGCCCCGGAGCCAAUCUCGGUUGUGUGGCGUCCAAAGACUUAAAGUUUGGGGGCAUUGCUUACUAAAAAGAAUACAAAAUUCUGAAAACAAAGUA